AAAGCACAGCAUACCCAGAAGAGCUGGA
RNAcentral lists this non-coding RNA (28 nucleotides) under Homo sapiens (human). The record is from RNAcentral. Lineage: Eukaryota; Metazoa; Chordata; Mammalia; Primates; Hominidae.